This 175-nucleotide non-coding RNA is filed under the name uncultured Acetatifactor sp. Its description in RNAcentral is "Lysine riboswitch". It matches the Rfam family "Lysine riboswitch aptamer". Rfam says of the family: Riboswitches are metabolite binding domains within certain messenger RNAs that serve as precision sensors for their corresponding targets. Allosteric rearrangement of mRNA structure is mediated by ligand binding, and this results in modulation of gene expression. This family includes riboswitches that sense lysine in a number of genes involved in lysine metabolism, including lysC. Lineage: Bacteria; Bacillati; Bacillota; Clostridia; Lachnospirales; Lachnospiraceae. The record is from RNAcentral.
UUGAUAGAGGUUGCAUUCUUAGAAGAGUACUUUUUCGGAUGCGUCAGGCGCAGGGGAGGAAAAGGGAAAGGCGAGAAUGCCGAAAGGAUGAGCUGCCUGUAAGGCUCAGACCUUGGGCAUACGGUUAAGAGCCGUAUGACUGUCAUUCGUUUUCACGGAUGGGGCGCUAUCGGGU